GUGCAUACCUACAACAUAGCAUUAAUGCACAAGAUCCCAUUAGAACAUUUUAGUUAAGCGUACUUGGGAUAGAGUAGUAUUGGGAUGGAUGAUUGCCUGGGAAGUCCUAGUGUUUUACAUG
Picea glauca (white spruce) is the source of this 121-nucleotide non-coding RNA. Lineage: Eukaryota; Viridiplantae; Streptophyta; Pinopsida; Pinales; Pinaceae. The record is from Rfam.